This 142-nucleotide small nuclear RNA is filed under the name Aotus nancymaae (Ma's night monkey). Its description in RNAcentral is "U4 spliceosomal RNA (ENSANAG00000009331.1)". It matches the Rfam family "U4 spliceosomal RNA". From Rfam's summary of the family: U4 small nuclear RNA (U4 snRNA) is a component of the major U2-dependent spliceosome. Lineage: Eukaryota; Metazoa; Chordata; Mammalia; Primates; Aotidae. The record is from Rfam by way of RNAcentral.
AGCUUUGUGCAAUGGCAGUAUUGUAGCCAAUGAGGUUUAUCCGAGGCACGAUUAUUGCUAAUUGAAAACUUUUUCCCAACGCCCCGCUAUGACAACUUGAAUUACAGUCGGCAUUGGCAAUUUUUGACAGUCUCUACAGAGA